GUUGUAGCUCAGUGGGUAGAGCAUCUGCUUUGCAUGCAGAAGGUCCCAGGUUCGAUCCCUGGCAUCUCCA
RNAcentral lists this transfer RNA (70 nucleotides) under Podarcis lilfordi (Lilford's wall lizard). RNAcentral's name for it is "tRNA.Ala". It matches the Rfam family "tRNA". From Rfam's summary of the family: Transfer RNA (tRNA) molecules are approximately 80 nucleotides in length. Their secondary structure includes four short double-helical elements and three loops (D, anti-codon, and T loops). The record is from RNAcentral. Lineage: Eukaryota; Metazoa; Chordata; Lepidosauria; Squamata; Lacertidae.